This 323-nucleotide unclassified non-coding RNA is filed under the name soil metagenome. Its description in RNAcentral is "partial contains 5.8S ribosomal RNA, internal transcribed spacer 2, and large subunit ribosomal RNA". The stretch from base 1 to 120 matches the Rfam family "5.8S ribosomal RNA", at positions 35 to 154 of the family's 154-position model. The record is from RNAcentral.
GAUGAAGAACGUAGCGAAAUGCGAUAAGUAGUGUGAAUUGCAGAAUUCAGUGAAUCAUCGAAUCUUUGAACGCACAUUGCGCCCCUUGGUAUUCCAUGGGGCAUGCCUGUUCGAGCGUCAUUUGUACCUUCAAGCUUUGCUUGGUGUUGGGUGUUUGUCCUGAGGGACUCGCCUUAAAGUAAUUGGCAGCCAGUGUUUUGGUUUUGAAGCGCAGCACAAGUCGCGAUUCAAGGCUAUACGCAGCUUCCACAAGCCUUUUUCACUUUUGACCUCGGAUCAGGUAGGGAUACCCGCUGAACUUAAGCAUAUCAAUAAGCGGAGGA